GAUAAUGUACAUUUCCAGCAGGCAGCUGAGAUCUCUGAAGCUCUAGUGGAGAAGCAGGUGGACUUUGAGGCGAUGUGGUACACAGACAAGGAUCACGGGCUCGGCGGCUCGGCCUAUCAACACGUCUACACCCACAUGAGUCACUUCUUACAGAGGUGCUUUGCAUGAAGUCCACUGGAUCCCAAAAACCUCUUUUCAUUGUUUCAUGUGAAUAAAAAAUAUAAAUUUUGGGGAUCAAGACUUCAAAUGUAAAUGCAGGCUUGAUUACUAGUGGAAACGUAUUGAGUAAAAAGUGGGCUAAAACACGACAUUGGAGAUGGUAUUUUUACUUAUAACACAUCUACAUGUACAAUGUAAUGAAGUUUGUUUCAUGAAUUUAACUUUUAAAGAGGUUUUUACUUGACCUGGGCAAGGAAUCGAUAUAAUAAUGUGAUAGUUUAAAAUGUCGUAAAUGUACUUGGACAUGAAGAGUAUUUAUAGUUCAGAAACAUAAUGCUCCACAGUGAUUUUAUACAGUUUUACUAAAUUUAUGAAAGUUUUGACUGUAUUAUGUAAUAACUGUUUUGUAAAAUAAUAAAGGAAUAAAUAAUGAGAACCUC
Molecule: long non-coding RNA, 599 nt
Organism: Micropterus dolomieu (smallmouth bass)
Lineage: Eukaryota; Metazoa; Chordata; Actinopteri; Centrarchiformes; Centrarchidae
Exons: 2
Source: RefSeq, a predicted model, not a curated record